GGAUAAAGGAAGGAGCUACAAGGCAAGGAAAAAAAGACAGACAAUCCUGUGAACAAUGUGGGCUAAGAAUGCUCUGAGGCCUGUGGGUCUACAAGAGUUGGAAGUUGUGGGGCUUCUCACAGAACCUGCUUUUCAUAUGGCAGCCCAUGCAGCAGAGGCUCUAAGGAGAAAUUUUCCAACCAAGAUAGGAGAGCCUAAAGUAAUUCCUCUCUUACAAUUUGCAUGGGAUGAGUAUCUACAGGAGAAAAAAAAGGAAUUGAGAGGGGAGACUUGGGAAUAUCCUUCCAAUGUGAUGUGUUUUGUGGAUGGCCAGCUCCUUGGAGAUGAAAAAAUGAUGCUCAAAUGGGCUUAUGAUGUUUGGGAUUAUAAAGACUUUAAACCCACAGCACUCUAUGAGGCCAUUACACAAGAUUUCCUCACCAAAUACAUGAGAAACAAAAAGCAUGUGUUUGUGUUCUUGGAGAUAGCUAUUCAAGAGAUGACUGUUGGAAAAUUGCUAUUUGAGCUCUAUUCUGAUAUCUGCCCCAGGACAUGUCGGAAUUUCCAAUAUUUGUGCACAGGCGAGAAAAUGAACUCUGAGUCAGGGGUGGUCCUCACGUACCAAGAUUCUAUCUUUCACCGAAUUGUCAAAAAUGGCUGGAUACAAGGAGGAGAUAUACAUGGAGGAAGAGGGAACGGAGGCGAGUCAAUAUAUGGUCCUGUCUUUGAAGAUGAAAACUUUGCUGUUCGCCACGAUAGGAGGGGUGUCCUUGGAAUGGCCAAUAAAGGACGCCACAGCAAUGGGUCCCAGUUCUACAUCACGUUACAGGCAGCACCUUACUUGAAUGACAAAUAUGUGGCUUUUGGACAGCUGCUUGAAGGCUCAGAAGUCCUCCAGGAACUGGAAGCAAUGGAAACAUUCAAUGAGAGGCCAAUUUUAGAAUGUAAAAUUAUUAACUGUGGAGUGUUUAAGCCAUGAUUGUGAAUGACACUGUGCCCGUACUUACCAAUAGCAUGAAGUGCUGAAUCUCCAGACAAUGAGUCCCCCUGAAAUGAGAAACUGGACCUACUAUUAGAUGGACUCUCAGCUGACGCUCUUUAACCAACCAAUUUAAGGGGACUCUUGAUAUCUACGCAACUAUCAAGAAACAGACAAAAAUCUUUCACAGGAAAUCUUUCACAGGAAGUAACAGAAUGUCAUUUUACCAAGGGACAUGUGUGUACAUCAAUUUAACAAGUAUUGUCAACAGAGACUGCUGACAUCUAUCUUCAGCAAGAAAGAGACCUCUUGCUUAAGUUACAUGGACUUUGACCUCAGGUACAGCUUGUGUUUUUCUUGUGCAAGGAAUCAGAUUCUUGAUCAUUAUAUUCCUCUAUACAUCUGUUUUGAUGGAGAAUUAAUCCAUAAAGAGUGGUGGGAAUCCUCCCUCUAACCAGUUAUUAUUACUUCUGUUCAGUGCUGUUGUUGUUAGGUGAUUUUAAGUUACUUCAGUUAUUGCUACAGCUUUGAAUGAGCCACCUCAUAUACUAUAUGUCCUAGCAUUUACAAUGAUUGCAGACACAGGGCCCCAGCUUCCUUGUAGUUACUCAGCUAGUAUUAUCCUUGUUUGAGAGUAUAGUGGUGCCUUGCAAGACGAAUG
This is an RNA transcript of Pogona vitticeps (central bearded dragon), 1619 nucleotides long. It is a transcript of the gene named peptidylprolyl isomerase like 6, with no coding region annotated. Lineage: Eukaryota; Metazoa; Chordata; Lepidosauria; Squamata; Agamidae. The record is from RefSeq and is a predicted model, not a curated record.